This 223-nucleotide unclassified non-coding RNA is filed under the name rhizosphere metagenome. RNAcentral describes it as "partial ribosomal RNA internal transcribed spacer region". The record is from RNAcentral.
GUAGGUGAACCUGCGGAGGGAUCAUUACACAAUAUGAAAGCGGGCUGGCAUCCUUCGGGGUUACAGCCUUGCUGAAUUAUUCACCCGUGUCUUUUGCGUACUUCUUGUUUCCUUGGUGGGUUCGCCCACCAUAGGACAAACCAUAAACCUUUUGUAAUUGCAAUCAGCGUCAGAAAAAAAAAAUUAAUAAUUACAACUUUUAACAACGGAUCUCUUGGUUCUG